AUUGAACGCUGGCGGCAUGCUUUACACAUGCAAGUCGAACGGCAGCGCGGGCUUCGGCCUGGCGGCGAGUGGCGAACGGGUGAGUAAUGCAUCGGAACGUGCCCAGUAGUGGGGGAUAGCCCGGCGAAAGCCGGAUUAAUACCGCAUACGACCUGAGGGUGAAAGCGGGGGACCGAAAGGCCUCGCGCUAUUGGAGCGGCCGAUGUCGGAUUAGCUAGUUGGUGGGGGAAAGGCUUACCAAGGCGACGAUCCGUAGCUGGUCUGAGAGGACGACCAGCCACACUGGGACUGAGACACGGCCCUGAGUCCUACGGGAGGGAGCAGUGGGGAAUUUUGGACAAUGGGGGCAAACCUGAUCCAGCCAUGCCGCGUGCGGGAAGAAGGCCUUCGGGUUGUAAACCGCUUUUGUUCGGGAAGAAAUCCUCUGGGCUAAUACCCCGGGGGGAUGACGGUACCGGAAGAAUAAGCACCGGCUAACUACGUG
Molecule: ribosomal RNA, 484 nt
Filed under: uncultured bacterium
Lineage: Bacteria
Description: partial 16S ribosomal RNA
Rfam family: Bacterial small subunit ribosomal RNA
Source: RNAcentral